CCCUUAGAUGUUCUGGGCUGCACGCGCGCUACACUGACAUGUCCAGCGAGCUCCCAACCUGCUCGGCAAAGAAUGGGUACCCUUUUUAACGCAUGUCGUGAUGGGGAUAGAUUAUUGCAAUUGUUGAUCUUGAACGAGGAAUUCCUAGUAAGUGCAAGUCAUUAGCUUGUGCUGAAUACGUCCCUGCCCUUUGUACACACCGCCCGUCGCUCCUACCGAUUGAAUGCUCAGGUGAGCCAUUCGGACUUUCAUCAUGCUGGUUUCCAGUUUUGAUGAAGGAAAGUCUUGCGAACCUUAUCAUUUAGAGGAAGGAGAAGUCGUAACA
Molecule: ribosomal RNA, 325 nt
Filed under: uncultured eukaryote
Lineage: Eukaryota
Description: partial 18S ribosomal RNA
Rfam family: Eukaryotic small subunit ribosomal RNA
Source: RNAcentral